UUUAGAGUUUGAUCCAUGGCUCAGGACGAACGCUGGCGGCGCGCCUUACGCAUGCAAGUCGAACGCCCCGGUUCGCCGGGGAGUGGCAGACGGCUGAGUAACGCGUUGGUAACCUGUCCCACAGUGGGGGAUAACCCGCCGAAAGGUGGGCUAAUACCGCAUGUGAUCCCGUGGUGAAAGACCGCGGGAGGAAAGCCGCAAGGCGCUGAGGGAGGGGCCCGCGUCCUAUCAGGUAGUUGGUGAGGUAACGGCUCACCAAGCCGACGACGGGUAGCUGGUCUGAGAGGACGACCAGCCAGACGGGGACUGAGACACGGCCCCGACUCCUACGGGAGGCAGCAGCGAGGAAUCUUGGGCAAUGGGCGAAAGCCUGACCCAGCGACGCCGCGUGGGGGAAGAAGGCCUUCGGGUCGUAAACCCCUUUUGCCGGGGGAGAAGCUCUGACGUACCCGGCGAAUAAGCCACGCA
RNAcentral lists this ribosomal RNA (468 nucleotides) under uncultured bacterium. RNAcentral's name for it is "bacterial SSU rRNA". It matches the Rfam family "Bacterial small subunit ribosomal RNA", at positions 1 to 497 of the family's 1533-position model. The record is from RNAcentral.